GGGGAAUAUUGCACAAUGGAGGAAACUCUGAUGCAGCGAUGCCGCGUGAGGGAAGAAGGUUUUAGGAUUGUAAACCUCUGUCUUCAGGGACGAAAAAAGGACGGUACCUGAGGAGGAAGCUCCGGCUAACUACGUGCCAGCAGCCGCGGUAAUACGUAGGGAGCGAGCGUUGUCCGGAAUUACUGGGUGUAAAGGGAGCGUAGGCGGGAUCGCAAGUCAGAUGUGAAAACUAUGGGCUUAACCCAUAAACUGCAUUUGAAACUGUGGUUCUUGAGUGAAGUAGAGGUAAGCGGAAUUCCUAGUGUAGCGGUGAAAUGCGUAGAUAUUAGGAGGAACACCAGUGGCGAAGGCGGCCUGCUGGGCUUUAACUGACGCUGAGGCACGAAAGCGUGGGUAGCAAACAGGAUUAGAUACCCUGGUAGUCCACGCUGUAAACGAUGAUUACUAGGUGUGGGGGGUCUGACCCCUUCCGUGCCGGAGUUAACACAAUAAGUAAUCCACCUGGGGAGUACGGCCGCAAGGUUGAAACUCAAAGGAAUUGACGGGGGCCCGCACAAGCAGUGGAGUAUGUGGUUUAAUUCGAAGCAACGCGAAGAACCUUACCAGGUCUUGACAUCCAACUAACGAAGUAGAGAUACAUUAGGUGCCCUUCGGGGAAAGUUGAGACAGGUGGUGCAUGGUUGUCGUCAGCUCGUGUCGUGAGAUGUUGGGUUAAGUCCCGCAACGAGCGCAACCCUUGCUAUUAGUUGCUACGCAAGAGCACUCUAAUAGGACUGCCGUUGACAAAACGGAGGAAGGUGGGGACGACGUCAAAUCAUCAUGCCCCUUAUGACCUGGGCUACACACGUACUACAAUGGAUGUUAACAGAGGGAAGCAAGACAGCGAUGUGGAGCAAACCCCUAAAAACAUUCUCAGUUCAGAUUGCAGGCUGCAACCCGCCUGCAUGAAGAUGGAAUUGCUAGUAAUCGCGGAUCAGCAUGCCGCGGUGAAUACGUUCCCG
This 1001-nucleotide ribosomal RNA is filed under the name uncultured bacterium. Its description in RNAcentral is "bacterial SSU rRNA". It matches the Rfam family "Bacterial small subunit ribosomal RNA", at positions 356 to 1376 of the family's 1533-position model. The record is from RNAcentral. RNAcentral also lists the same sequence under 1 other name.